This 492-nucleotide ribosomal RNA is filed under the name uncultured bacterium. RNAcentral's name for it is "partial 16S ribosomal RNA". It matches the Rfam family "Bacterial small subunit ribosomal RNA", at positions 29 to 507 of the family's 1533-position model. The record is from RNAcentral.
AGUGAACGCUGGCGGUAGGCCUAACACAUGCAAGUCGAACGGCAGCACAGUAAGAGCUUGCUCUUACGGGUGGCGAGUGGCGGACGGGUGAGGAAUACAUCGGAAUCUACUUUUUCGUGGGGGAUAACGUAGGGAAACUUACGCUAAUACCGCACACGACCUACGGGUGAAAGCAGGGGAUCUUCGGACCUUGCGCGAUUGAAUGAGCCGAUGUCGGAUUAGCUAGUUGGCGGGGUAAAGGCCCACCAAGGCGACGAUCCGUAGCUGGUCUGAGAGGAUGAUCAGCGACACUGGAACUGAGACACGGUCCAGACUCCUACGGGAGGCAGCAGUGGGGAAUAUUGGACAAUGGGCGCAAGCCUGAUCCAGCCAUACCGCGUGGGUGAAGAAGGCCUUCGGGUUGUAAAACCCUUUUGUUGGGAAAGAAAAGCAGCAGGUUAAUACCCCGCUGUUCUGACGGUACCCAAAGAAUAAGCACCGGCUAACUUCGUG